AACACAGACACACAUACACACAGAAACACAGGCACAGACUCCCACACGUGGACGCACAGACACACAUAUAUAUGAUACUUCUUGUCUCAUCUGGGAUUGGGUUUCUGCCAGAUGAGUACAACACUAAGAAAAAAUGAGCUAGGGAGUUAGUUCUGUGAACGCCUAGCUGGUUUCAGAAGAAAACAGAAAGGUGAGGGCUGAGGGAGUGGGAGAAACAGAGUCUGAGGCACCACUUCCAACCAGGUGGCACCAAGAGCCAGCGUGGCAGCGGAGGGGGGACGUGGGGGAAGCAAACUGCGGGAGAAGAGGUCGCACGGAGAGAGUGCCUCUACUGACUUAGUGAUGUGCAGUAUUUUGAAUGAUCGCUAUUUUCCAGAUCCUGUGAUAGACUAAAUGGUAAACGACCCCAAGGAAAUUCGAAUCAUGGUGAUGAUGUGUCCACAGGGGGCAGAUUUACCAAGAAACCUAAGCUGUAAGGCCUGUCACCUGCCUUGGAAGAGGACAUGCACAUAAGGAACACCACAGUCAAAGGUUCCUCAGCCUCACGCCCUCUCCAUCCCGUCAUGACAUCUAACUACACUGAAAGAAAUGAGCAUCCAGCUGAGGUUAAGUUUCUGCACUUGUGCGUAUGUGUAUGGCAUAGACUUCAAGGUGGCCCCGCGACCCCUGUGACUUGCUCCUAACCAACAAAAUAUGACCAGUGUGAUGCAGUGUGACUCCUAGGAUUAUGUAGUUGUAUAAGGCUUGGUCUCCUUGAAAGAUUUGAAGAAGCCAGCUACCAUGAGGUCUACAUCUUUCCACAACCUUGGUGUUGGAACCUAAUCCCCAACGUGGUGGUAGGUUUGCCACCUGAAGCAGACAACGGCCCUCACCAGAUACUGAACCAGCUGGUGCCUUAACCUUGUACUUCCAGCCUCCAGAACUGUGAAAUGUAAGUUUCUGUUCUUUACAAAUGACCCAGCCUCAGGUAUUUUGUUAUAGCAGCAGGAACAGACUGAGAUAGUGGCCAACACAAUUCCAAGUGCCUGGUGAAUGCUUCCCUUCUGUCCCUUCACAGACAGAAGGUCUAGUAAGAAGCAAUAGUUCUAG
Chlorocebus sabaeus (green monkey) is the source of this 1089-nucleotide non-coding RNA. NCBI's taxonomy places the organism in Eukaryota, Metazoa, Chordata, Mammalia, Primates, Cercopithecidae. The record is from RefSeq and is a predicted model, not a curated record.